AAUAGAUACCCCGGUAGUCCACGCCGUAAACGAUGGAUACUAGCUGUUGGAGGUAUCGACCCCUUCAGUAGCGAAGCUAACGCGUUAAGUAUCCCGCCUAUGGAGUACGGCCGCAAGGCUAAAACAUAAAGGAAUUGACGGGGACCCGCACAAGCGGUGGAUCAUGUUCUUUAAUUCGAUGAUAAACGAAGAACCUUACCAGGGCUUGACAUCCUUGGAAGCACUACGAAAGUAGCGUGUGCCUUUUGGAACCAAGUGACAGAUGUUGCAUGGCCGUCGUCAGCUCGUGUCGUGAGAUGUUUGGUUAAGUCCAUCAACGAGCGCAACCCUUGUGAAUAGUUGUAUUUUUCUAUUCAGACUGCCCCGGCAACGGGGAGGAAGGAGGGGAUGAUGUCAGGUCAGUAUUACUCUUACGUCCUGGGCUAGAAACGUGAUACAAUGGCUGGUACAAUGCGCAGCGAAGCCGCGAGGUGAAGCAAAUCGCAUCAAAGCCAGUCCCAGUUCGGAUUGGAGGCUGAAACUGCCUCCA
RNAcentral lists this ribosomal RNA (529 nucleotides) under uncultured bacterium. Its description in RNAcentral is "bacterial SSU rRNA". It matches the Rfam family "Bacterial small subunit ribosomal RNA", at positions 777 to 1320 of the family's 1533-position model. The record is from RNAcentral.